This is a long non-coding RNA of Erinaceus europaeus (western European hedgehog), 197 nucleotides long. RefSeq lists it as uncharacterized. Lineage: Eukaryota; Metazoa; Chordata; Mammalia; Eulipotyphla; Erinaceidae. The transcript is spliced from 2 exons. The record is from RefSeq and is a predicted model, not a curated record.
UGAAGCACAAGGACCAACGUAAGGAUCACAGUUCAAGUCCCCUGCUCCCCACCUGCAGGGGAGUCGCUUCACAGUGAAGCAGGUCUGCAAGUGUCUGUCUUUCUUUCCUCCUCUCUAUCUCCCCCUCCUCUUUCCAUUUCUCUCUGUCCUAUCCAACAACAAUGAUAAACGACAAGGGCAACAAAAAGGGGAGAAAA